This 253-nucleotide ribosomal RNA is filed under the name uncultured bacterium. Its description in RNAcentral is "partial 16S ribosomal RNA". It matches the Rfam family "Bacterial small subunit ribosomal RNA", at positions 524 to 776 of the family's 1533-position model. The record is from RNAcentral.
UACGUAGGGGGCAAGCGUUGUCCGGAAUCAUUGGGCGUAAAGCGCGUGUAGGCGGCUAGGUAAGUCUGCUCUGAAAGCCCGGGGCUCAACCCCGGGAGGCGGGUGGAUACUGUCUAGCUCGAGUCCGGAAGAGGAGUGUGGAAUUCCUGGUGUAGCGGUGAAAUGCGCAGAUAUCAGGAGGAACACCAAUGGCGAAGUCAGCACUCUGGGACGUGACUGACGCUGAGACGCGAAAGCGUGGGGAGCAAACAGG